Molecule: small RNA, 682 nt
Filed under: Histoplasma ohiense
Lineage: Eukaryota; Fungi; Ascomycota; Eurotiomycetes; Onygenales; Ajellomycetaceae
Description: hypothetical lncRNA
Source: RNAcentral
CAAGCCCGAAGUCUCGAAAAUCUCUUCCCAGACACCAGGCGACACACAAUGGUGUUCCUGGACGAAGCGAAGAAAUCCGGCCGUUCCGCUGUUGUCGUUAACUCACAUCGGGCUAUGCUCUAUCUCUCCUCGGAUUGCGAAAUUCCGCCUAGAAAGGUUUAACGAGCCAUGAAACAAUGGCUCUCUCGGAGAACAAAGUUUAUCUAUUUAACUAUGCUGCUUGCAAGCUGAUGAAGCCACACGCGUCUAGCUUGCCGUCCAUGUUGCGCAGCACCUCGUCCAAGCUGAAGAAACAGACGUUUCCCUCGAUCAAAAAUUACCAUUGAGUGGAAAAACCACAGAAAAUCUUUUAACUCGCCGUUUGGGAAUCGCUAAUUUAUGCGAAGGUGACGCUGGACCCUUCGUUCACGUCGCAUUUUGUCCCACGCCCCUUAUCAAUUUCUCAGUAGCCAAGGAGCUGCAUCCGAGACAAUUCGGUAUAUAACUGCCGUGUACAGAGUGCAUUCAGUCAUCCAAGUCCCAGAUGCACUUCGCGCGCAUGUAUGUAUUUUAUCUUUGGAGGGUUUUGAGAAGGCGAAACUAGCUAUGAUGCGCCAUUGCUCACAGCGAUGCGACCAAGGAUGGGAUCCACGAAAGAACAACCCCAAUUUGUCUGCAAAUGGUUUCCGCAAGUACCUUGUAG